CACGACAAGUUGUUUUGCAUUUCCUUCUCAGAGUGUGACGUGUGAACUGGUUAAGAUGCGUGUGUGUGAGAAGCCUGUAAUGAGUUUAUGCUUUUAGUAAACGAGCAGGCGGAUCCACGUGGGGCGAACAGUCCUGGCUGUUAAACGGGUCUUCAUCCGGCGGCGCUGAACUCUCUGAAGCGGAUUCAGCAUGCUAGCUAAGCUAAGUUAUGCUAUGCUAUGCUAAGCUAAGCUAAUGAAGUGCGCACUCACAUCGUCGCAUGACAUCACCGUGGCCACCAACAUGACCAAGCGUUCAGGAUUCAUGGAAAAAAGCAACUAUCAAAAGCUCACCAGGUGAUUGGAGGAAACGCGAAUGUGGUACAAGGAGGGACGACAAAUAUUUGAAAACCGUUUGAUGGUGGUUCUCUAAAUGAUGCAUUAAUCCUUAACCUGUUAACAAGAACAGAAAUGAGCCACCACUCAAUUAACUAUUCAGUUAAACAUUUACACACAUUUUCUGUUGGACUACGACGUCCUGAAGGAGUCUGAUGAGUUUAGUUUUUUACUGGUUGUUUGAUUAUUGGUUAUUAUUUUAUUUAUUAUGUUGUGAUAGAUUUGUCGUUGACUCAAAGAAGUGGUGUGCGUUGUAGCUUUGUGUCAGAGGAGCUAAGAUCACCUACCUGAGAUAAAACACGGUGUCUGUCUAGUGUUUUGUUUCAACAUCAUCUUUCUUUCCAUACUUUCUGAUUGAAGUCUGUAUUUCGCAAAUGUCGUUCCGUUAUCUCAGUUACAUUUUCUCAUGUAUAGUUUCCUGAAUCUAAUGGCAUACAUAUGUAUGUUUAUAUGUAGACACACGUAUGUAUGUAUUUAAGUUUGAGGAGCUUCAUAACUGGUGCAGGUGUGUUACAGUAUGAAUAUCGGUCCAAUAUAAUCUGUGCCACUAUGAGUCGACCACCCGGCUGCUUCAUCUCACAUCUCAUGUGGUUCAUAUUCUAAUAACAAAGCCACCGUUCCAACCUCAGUGUUAAUCAGUCAUGUUUUCAUUUCAUUUGAACUCGAAAGUCACCAAAAGAGGAUUUUAUCACAUUCAAAGUUAGUGAAUAUAAAAUGGUUCUUUGUUACAAACACAAAAAUAUUUGUGCAAGUGCAUAAAAAGUUGCACAUGUGUUAAAAACUUAACCGUUUACAGAAGGUGACCUUACCUAUGACUUAUUUAAGAUAAAGCCUCAUAUUUUAAGCUGAGCCAAGUUUGUUCAUGCUGGCAGCUACGUGAGAUGUACUAAAUAAUGAUGCAAGUAUGCGAACAUGAUCAGAAACACAAUGUUAUUAUGCUGCUUGGUACGAAAUGAUCUUUAACAUAUUCACCAUCUUACUUAAUUACAUCAAUAUGCUAGAAUUUGAAAACCACUAGCAAAUAAAAGUAAUAUAAUAUAGAUGUAAAUAUGUGUGUGUGUGUGUGUGUGUGUGUGUGUGUGUGUGUGUGUGUGUGUGUGUGUGCAGUAGUAGUGGGAGUGUUUAGUGGAAUUCAAGCAGAAGAGAAAUCUCAUUAGGGAUUAUCACAAAUAGUGUUAGAAUCAUCAGUCAUUACACAGUAGUUAUGCUAGAUUAAUAACUAAAAGGAAAACAUUUAAAAUCGAAUCACACCGAUUCCUUUGUGCGUUAUUACAUUAAAACCAGUGUUAAACUUGCAGUCGGUCUUUCUCUGUCUGAUGGUCAUCAUGUUCCACCUGAACCAAGCAGCUCUUCUCUCCAUCACACUGUUCACGAUGGUCCAAGUCUCUGCAGAUAGUAAUGCAGUUGAGCAGAGGAAUAUAUCGGUGUACAGAGGAGAGUCCGUCACCUUCACCUGCAACGUGUCCAAGACAAAAGUAUCGCAAAUCCGGUGGACCAAAGGCGGAUCAUCUUUUGUGUUUGGAGUCCCAUUAAAUCAGACCUUUUCAAAUUUCACUUCACACCGACUGACAAUAGACACAAACUUCCCCUCAAAGAUGAUUAUUUCAAACUUUCAGCAUAACGAUGCAGGAAUCUACAGAUGUACUUUAUAUGACGAGAAAGGUACGAGGAGUAUUGAGUGGAAUGUAACGGUGUCUGAGGAACAUGAAGAAUUCAGUUAUUUGUGGUUAUAUAUCACAACUGCAACUGGAUCUCUUCUUAGUUUCUUCAUCACAGCUGUUUGUCUCUACAGAAGCUGGACCAAGAUCCCAGACCAGGACCAGGAAAGAAAGACCCUGAGUUACGUCACAUUUCAUCUUCAGUGUGGAAAAGAGGUGGCUCCACUCCAACCACACAGUUGUGUAGAAUACAGUAAGAAUCACAAGUCAAUACUUUAAGAGGCUCAAUUCAAACCUUCUGGCCCGUUAAGGAUGAAGUUCAGUGCAAAGACGAACAAGAAAUAAAAGAUGUUGGAAAGAGCAAAACAUUCAAUCAACACAAAACCUCAACUGCUUGAAAAAUUUGCAUUUUGGAGAUAUGAGCAUUAAAAUGCUGGUCAGUCAGUUUCCCUCAAGCAGUGGGAGACAUGGAGACAAACUGUCCCUGAAGAACAAACCUUUCUGGACAAUGUGUGCUCAAAAAUCUGAAAACUGAAGACCUGUUCCUCCUCUGCAACAUUGAAGAUUUGAUCCUUGUUUGACAUCAGUGUCGUCUUGUAGGGGAGAGCGGCGUCGGGUGCAACAUUUGGACAUUUGGAACACUGCUAGUUAGAUAGAAGUUUGAAAAAUCUAUUCAUGUCAAAUUGAUGCAAUGUUUCAAUAAACAUAUUUUUGUGGCUUGUGUCCCAAACGUCCCGCAGAGGCAGAAUUAUGGGGAAAUUCAACUGUUGUACAUUUCAUCAAACUGUGCUUUUUUCGUUCUGGUUUGGCUCCAGAGAACUUGACAAAUUUGCAGACAACUGGAAUCUGUAACGAAUUUACUAUUAAAGGUAAGUUUGUGUUGAUGCAGCAGCAGUGAGCUUGUUGAUGUUUUUCUGUUCAGGGAAACCAGGAAGUGGUUAAAGAUUUUAAAGGUUAAUUGAUGAAGGUAAAUCCUCCCUUGGUUUUUUGUUCUUCUGUGAAGCGAUUUGAAACCCUUUUCUUUCUUUUAAACGAAAAUGUUCUCUCUUCUCCAGCUGCGUGCUCACCCGUCGCCAAUAAUAAAUAAAAUGAGAAAAUUGUAA
Gasterosteus aculeatus aculeatus (three-spined stickleback) is the source of this 3136-nucleotide non-coding RNA. NCBI's taxonomy places the organism in Eukaryota, Metazoa, Chordata, Actinopteri, Perciformes, Gasterosteidae. The record is from RefSeq and is a predicted model, not a curated record.